CCCUUCUGUGUGUCACACUUUUAUUGCCACUUGUUUGGCUUCAUUUCGUAGCCAUUCAGGGGCCUAACCUGCUGCAUAUGGCAGAGCAACACAAACACAAAUUAUAAAGGAUUUUUGUUCUCCCUACCUGACAAAUAUUUGAGCUCCAGAAGCCUCUCCACACUUUAAAUCACUCCAUCUUAAAAAUGUAUUAUCAAGGCUCCAGGUUUGAUGGAGAAGCUCUGCCAAGGUGAGGGAUAACUCCAGCCAGCCCAGGGUUACCAACAGAGGUGAGGUCCUUGUCUAAGUACAUAUUUCUUUUGGAAAACUGCUCGAGAACCAGAAAAAAAAACAAAAACAAAAAAAAAGGAGCUGAGCUCAGGGCUCCAC
Ficedula albicollis (Collared flycatcher) is the source of this 369-nucleotide long non-coding RNA. RefSeq lists it as uncharacterized. The record is from RefSeq and is a predicted model, not a curated record. The transcript is spliced from 4 exons. NCBI's taxonomy places the organism in Eukaryota, Metazoa, Chordata, Aves, Passeriformes, Muscicapidae.